CCUGGCGGCAGUAGCGCGGUGGUCCCACCUGACCCCAUGCCGAACUCAGAAGUGAAACGCCGUAGCGCCGAUGGUAGUGUGGGGUCUCCCCAUGCGAG
Molecule: ribosomal RNA, 98 nt
Filed under: Salmonella enterica subsp. enterica serovar Enteritidis
Lineage: Bacteria; Pseudomonadati; Pseudomonadota; Gammaproteobacteria; Enterobacterales; Enterobacteriaceae
Source: RNAcentral